UACGUAGGGGCCUAGCGUUGUCCGGAAUUAUUGGGCGUAAAGAGCUCGUAGGCGGUUGGGUAAGUCGGGUGUGAAAACUCCAGGCUCAACUUGGAGACGCCACCCGAUACUGCUCUGACUUGAGUUCGGUAGGGGAGUGGGGAAUUCCUGGUGUAGCGGUGAAAUGCGCAGAUAUCAGGAGGAACACCGGUGGCGAAGGCGGGUCUCUGGGCCGAUACUGACGCUGAGGAGCGAAAGCGUGGGGAGCGAACAGG
Molecule: ribosomal RNA, 254 nt
Filed under: uncultured bacterium
Lineage: Bacteria
Description: partial 16S ribosomal RNA
Rfam family: Bacterial small subunit ribosomal RNA
Source: RNAcentral